This 34-nucleotide transfer RNA is filed under the name Anser cygnoides (Swan goose). RNAcentral's name for it is "tRNA-Lys". RNAcentral also lists the same sequence under 5 other names. The record is from RNAcentral. Lineage: Eukaryota; Metazoa; Chordata; Aves; Anseriformes; Anatidae.
CUAGCCAAAGAGGGACUUCCCCCUCCUUAAUGAU